RNAcentral lists this ribosomal RNA (231 nucleotides) under Triticum aestivum (bread wheat). RNAcentral describes it as "partial small subunit ribosomal RNA". The record is from RNAcentral. Lineage: Eukaryota; Viridiplantae; Streptophyta; Magnoliopsida; Poales; Poaceae.
AUGUCGUUAGAGGAUGCUGUCGGUGGCUCUGCCCUCAAGAUCUGUAGGAAGGUCAUCAACAAGCUCACCUCUAUGCUCAACCAUUGCCUCAAGGAUGAUAUCAACAAGUUCAACGUCAAAAAUGAGCUCAACAUUGUAGAGCGUUUACUACAUCAUGGUAGCAUUUAUGUUGAAGACGAUUCUUUAAUCCUUUCUGAGGUGAAAUACAAGCAUGUAGCCUACCUCCCUUAA